RNAcentral lists this small RNA (73 nucleotides) under Sinorhizobium meliloti 2011. RNAcentral describes it as "putative ncRNA". The record is from RNAcentral. Lineage: Bacteria; Pseudomonadati; Pseudomonadota; Alphaproteobacteria; Hyphomicrobiales; Rhizobiaceae.
GAUGCAAUUCUGCUGUUUCGUCAGUCAUGAAAGGUCCCCUUCGGCUCAGUAAUGGCGAGAGAGAAUAGGACGU